UGAAAGACAGUCAUGGUAACACUCAAGU
This 28-nucleotide non-coding RNA is filed under the name Rattus norvegicus (Norway rat). The record is from RNAcentral. Lineage: Eukaryota; Metazoa; Chordata; Mammalia; Rodentia; Muridae.